This 493-nucleotide ribosomal RNA is filed under the name Phycisphaerales bacterium. RNAcentral describes it as "partial 23S ribosomal RNA". It matches the Rfam family "Bacterial large subunit ribosomal RNA", at positions 1 to 490 of the family's 2925-position model. The record is from RNAcentral. Lineage: Bacteria; Pseudomonadati; Planctomycetota; Phycisphaerae; Phycisphaerales.
GAUCAAGUGACCUAAGGGCAUUUGGUGGAUGCCUUGGCGGUAAGAGGCGAUGAAGGACGUGGUACGCUGCGAUAAGCUUGGGGAAGGUGCGAACAGCCGUUGAUCCCAAGAUUUCCGAAUGGGGAAACCCACCUUCGACAUCUUGAAAUUCGCAUCCGGGUUUCGACUCGGGUUCGGAUUUCAGGGUGUCAUAAGAAGGUAUCUAACCCUGAAUAAAAUAGGGGAUUAGAAGCAAACCCAGGGAACUGAAACAUCUAAGUACCUGGAGGAAAGGACAUCAACCGAGACUCCGCUAGUAGUGGCGAGCGAACGCGGACUAGGCCAGUGCCUCAGUGACGACAAGUGGAACCUUCUGGAAAGUUGGGCCAUAGCGGGUGAUAGCCCCGUACACGUAAUGCAGAUCUGAGGACUCGAGUAGGGCGGGACACGUGCAAUCCUGUCUGAACAUGGGGGGACCACCCUCCAAGCCUAAGUACUCCUUACCGACCGAUAG